This 497-nucleotide ribosomal RNA is filed under the name uncultured bacterium. RNAcentral's name for it is "partial 16S ribosomal RNA". It matches the Rfam family "Bacterial small subunit ribosomal RNA", at positions 28 to 507 of the family's 1533-position model. The record is from RNAcentral.
GACGAACGCUGGCGGCGUGCCUAAUACAUGCAAGUUGAGCGAUGAAGAUUGGUGCUUGCACCAAUUUGAAGAGCAGCGCACGGGUGAGUAACGCGUGGGGAAUCUGCCUUUGAGCGGGGGACAACAUUUGGAAACGAAUGCUAAUACCGCAUAAUAACUUUAAACAUAAGUUUUAAGUUUGAAAGAUGCAAUUGCAUCACUCAAAGAUGAUCCCGCGUUGUAUUAGCUAGUUGGUGAGGUAAAGGCUCACCAAGGCGAUGAUACAUAGCCGACCUGAGAGGGUGAUCGGCCACAUUGGGACUGAGACACGGCCCAAACGCCUACGGGAGGCAGCAGUAGGGAAUCUUCGGCAAUGGACGAAAGUCUGACCGAGCAACGCCGCGGGAGUGAAGAAGGGCUUCGGAUCGGAAAACUCGGUUGGUAGAGAAGAACGUUGGUGAGAGUGGAAAGCUCAUCAAGUGACGGUAACUACACAGAAAGGGACGGCUAACUACGUG